CGUACACAAAAGCGCAUGUGUUGUGAGCUCGAUGAGUAGGGCGGGACACGUGGUAUCCUGUCUGAAUAUGGGGGGACCAUCCUCCAAGGCUAAAUACUCCUGACUGACCGAUAGUGAACCAGUACCGUGAGGGAAAGGCGAAAAGAACCCCGGCGAGGGGAGUGAAAAAGAACCUGAAACCGUGUACGUACAAGCAGUGGGAGC
RNAcentral lists this ribosomal RNA (204 nucleotides) under Salmonella enterica subsp. enterica serovar Thompson. RNAcentral's name for it is "partial 23S ribosomal RNA". It matches the Rfam family "Bacterial large subunit ribosomal RNA", at positions 374 to 580 of the family's 2925-position model. Lineage: Bacteria; Pseudomonadati; Pseudomonadota; Gammaproteobacteria; Enterobacterales; Enterobacteriaceae. The record is from RNAcentral.